GCAGGUAGCACAGUGGAAAGAAUACCAGGUCUGGAUUUGGGAUGAAAUAGUUUCAAAUCUGGCCAUACUUUCUAGCUACGUGACCCUGGGCAAGUCAUUUAACCCUGUUUGCUUAGCCCUUCCCACUCUUCUGCCUUGGAAUCUUAUUCAGUAUCCAUUCUAAGACAGAAAAGUAAGUGUUUAAAUAUAUAUGUAUAUAGAUAUACACAUAUAUAAUUAGCUACUGUUAUUUAUUAUUCUAUAAAAUAAUUUUUUAUUAUUCUCUUCUUAAUUUAUAGACCUUCUGAAAUCUCUCCAUAUUAAGAGUCCCUGCUGGAAGGUACUGGAUCAAUACCAUCCCUUGCCAGUGCCAAGGGUAACAUGAAAGCCAAAGGAGCAGAAUAAAGUUCAAAGAUCUCUCACUCAGUUUGCAAAAGAAUGCUGGAAUCUUUCAGGGCCUCAGUCUCCUGUAUCAAGGAAAGAUAAAGACUGCAGACCUGAGCAGAAAAUUUGAUGCCCAAACACAGAACUCAAGAAAAACAUCAAAAGAGAAAAGUUGUAGAAAUUCACAGGCAGGAAAGCUCUAGCUCUCAAGGGGAUUGACUACAACAUCAUACCCAUUGACCUUUUAAAGGACAGGGACC
Molecule: long non-coding RNA, 623 nt
Filed under: Monodelphis domestica (gray short-tailed opossum)
Lineage: Eukaryota; Metazoa; Chordata; Mammalia; Didelphimorphia; Didelphidae
Description: lncRNA (ENSMODG00000048534.1)
Source: RNAcentral